Molecule: ribosomal RNA, 470 nt
Filed under: Golfingia vulgaris
Lineage: Eukaryota; Metazoa; Annelida; Sipuncula; Golfingiida; Golfingiidae
Description: partial 16S ribosomal RNA
Rfam family: Bacterial large subunit ribosomal RNA
Source: RNAcentral
UUCGACCUGCCCAGUGAACUUUUAACGGCCGCGGUACCCUGACCGUGCUAAGGUAGCACAAUCCCUUGCCUUUUAAUUGAUGGCUAGUAUGAAUGGUCAGACGAGUGUAUCAUUGUCUCUAAUAAACUAAUAAUAAACUAACCUUUAGGUGCAGAGGCCUAAACACAGAAGAAGGACAAAAAGACCCUAUCGCGCUUUAUAGGCCUUUUCUCGCCACUGUCUCGCCAGAAGCUCUAUUUUGUUGGGGCAACAAGGGCGCAACUAAACCCUCCCUUUUAUUUAACGGUUAUAUAAACCUUACUAAUCUCACGGGCAUAGCCCAUUUCAAACAUAAGCCACCGUAGGGAUAACAGACUAAUCUCCUCCGAGAGCCCUCAUUGACGAGGAGGCUUGGCACCUCGAUGUUGGCUUAGGGUCUCUUCAAGAAGCAGCACUCUUGACAGUAGGUUUGUUCAACCUUUAAAACCCUA